RNAcentral lists this ribosomal RNA (255 nucleotides) under uncultured bacterium. Its description in RNAcentral is "partial 16S ribosomal RNA". It matches the Rfam family "Bacterial small subunit ribosomal RNA", at positions 524 to 776 of the family's 1533-position model. The record is from RNAcentral.
UACGUAGGAAGCGAGCGUUGUCCGGAUUUACUGGGCGUAAAGGGCGUGUAGGCGGAGCGGCGCAUCCUGGAGUAAAUCUAUCGGCUCAACUGAUAGGCUUUCUAGGAGAUGGCCGCCCUUGAGGACAGCAGAGGAAAGUGGAAUUCCCGGUGUAGCGGUGAAAUGCGUAGAGAGUCCGGAGGAACACCGACGGCGCAGGCAGCGUCCGUGGCCGCUUGCUGACACUGAGGCACGAAAGCUGGGGGAGCAAACAGG